Molecule: ribosomal RNA, 243 nt
Filed under: uncultured bacterium
Lineage: Bacteria
Description: partial 16S ribosomal RNA
Rfam family: Bacterial small subunit ribosomal RNA
Source: RNAcentral
CGAAGGCAAGCGGAUCUCUUAAAGCUGUUCUCAGUUCGGACUGCAGUCUGCAACUCGACUGCACGAAGCUGGAAUCGCUAGUAAUCGCGGAUCAGCACGCCGCGGUGAAUACGUUCCCGGGCCUUGUACACACCGCCCGUCACACCAUGGGAGCCAGGAAUGCCCGAAGCCAGUGGCCUAACCGCAAGGGAGGAGCUGUCGAAGGCAGGCCCGGUAACUGGGGUGAAGUCGUAACAAGGUAAC